CCUACGGGAGGCAGCAGUGGGGAAUUUUGGACAAUGGGCGAAAGCCUGAUCCAGCCAUGCCGCGUGCAGGAUGAAGGCCUUCGGGUUGUAAACUGCUUUUGUACGGAACGAAAAGCCUCUUUCUAAUAAAGAGGGGUCAUGACGGUACCGUAAGAAUAAGCACCGGCUAACUACGUGCCAGCAGCCGCGGUAAUACGUAGGGUGCAAGCGUUAAUCGGAAUUACUGGGCGUAAAGCGUGCGCAGGCGGUUUUGUAAGACAGAGGUGAAAUCCCCGGGCUCAACCUGGGAACUGCCUUUGUGACUGCAAGGCUGGAGUGCGGCAGAGGGGGAUGGAAUUCCGCGUGUAGCAGUGAAAUGCGUAGAUAUGCGGAGGAACACCGAUGGCGAAGGCAAUCCCCUGGGCCUGCACUGACGCUCAUGCACGAAAGCGUGGGGAGCAAACAGGAUUAGAUACCCUGGUAGUCCACGCCCUAAACGAUGUCAACUGGUUGUUGGGUCUUCACUGACUCAGUAACGAAGCUAACGCGUGAAGUUGACCGCCUGGGGAGUACGGCCGCAAGGUUGAAACUCAAAUGAAUUGACGG
This 585-nucleotide ribosomal RNA is filed under the name uncultured bacterium. RNAcentral describes it as "bacterial SSU rRNA". It matches the Rfam family "Bacterial small subunit ribosomal RNA", at positions 338 to 916 of the family's 1533-position model. The record is from RNAcentral.